Molecule: ribosomal RNA, 716 nt
Filed under: uncultured archaeon
Lineage: Archaea
Description: bacterial SSU rRNA
Rfam family: Archaeal small subunit ribosomal RNA
Source: RNAcentral
GCCCGAAUCCAGGCCUUACGGGGCGCAGCAGGCCGAAACUUUCCAAUGCGGAACCCGUGAUAAGGAACUCCGAGUGUCCGUAAAUUCGGACUGUCCGUAUGUUUAAAAAGCAUACGAAGAAGGCCGGCAAGACCGGUGCCAGCCGCCGCGGUAAUACCGGCGGCUCGAGUGGUGCCACUAUUACUGGGCUUAAAGCGUUCGUAGCUUGGUUGUUAAGUCUCUUGGGAAAUCUAUCGGCUUAACCGAUAGGCGUCCAGGGGAUACUGGCAAUCUAGGGACCGGGAGAGGUGAGGGGUACUUCAGGGGUAGGAGUGAAAUCCUGUAAUCCCUGGGGGACCACCUGUGGCGAAGGCGCCUCACCAGAACGGCUCCGACAGUGAGGGACGAAAGCUGGGGGAGCAAACCGGAUUAGAUACCCGGGUAGUCCCAGCCGUAAACGAUGCACGUUAGGUGUAUCGAUGACCACGAGUCAUCGAGGUGCCGAAGGGAAACCGUGAAACGUGCCGCCUGGGAAGUACGGUCGCAAGGCUGAAACUUAAAGGAAUUGGCGGGGGAGCACCACAACAGGUGGAGCCUGCGGUUUAAUCGGACUCAACGCCGGAAAUCUCACCGGAUAAGACAGCUGAAUGAUAGUCGGGCUGAAGACUCUACUUGACUAGCUGAGAGGAGGUGCAUGGCCGUCGUCAGUUCGUACUGUGAAGCUCCUGUAANCAUYU